Molecule: ribosomal RNA, 406 nt
Filed under: uncultured bacterium
Lineage: Bacteria
Description: partial 16S ribosomal RNA
Rfam family: Bacterial small subunit ribosomal RNA
Source: RNAcentral
AUUGAACGCUGGCGGCAGGCCUAACACAUGCAAGUCGAACGAGUGGCGGACGGGUGAGUAAUGUCUGGGAAACUGCCUGAUGGAGGGGGAUAACUACUGGAAACGGUAGCUAAUACCGCAUACCAUCGGAUGUACCCAGAUGGGAUUAGCUAGUGGGUGGGGUAACGGCUCACCAAGGCGACGAUCCCUAGCUGGUCUGAGAGGAUGACCAGCCACACGGGGACUGAGAAACGGGCCAGACUCCUACGGGAGGCAGCAUUGGGGAAUAUUGCACAAUGGGGGCAAGCCUGACGCAGCCAUGCCGCGUGUAUGAAGAAGGCCUUCGGGUUGUAAAGUACUUUCAGCGGGGAGGCGUUACCCGCAGAAGAAGCACCGGCUAACUCCGUGCCAGCAGCCGCGGUAAUAC